UGUUUUUGUUGUUUGUGACUGCUGUGU
This 27-nucleotide non-coding RNA is filed under the name Mus musculus (house mouse). The record is from RNAcentral. Lineage: Eukaryota; Metazoa; Chordata; Mammalia; Rodentia; Muridae.